Molecule: ribosomal RNA, 468 nt
Filed under: Triticum aestivum (bread wheat)
Lineage: Eukaryota; Viridiplantae; Streptophyta; Magnoliopsida; Poales; Poaceae
Description: partial small subunit ribosomal RNA
Source: RNAcentral
AUGUCGCUGAUCCGCCGUGGCGACGUGUUCGACCCCUUCUCCCUCGACCUCUGGGACCCCUUCGACGGCUUCCCCUUCGGCUCCGGCAGCGGUAGCAUCUUCCCACGCACCACCAGCUCCGAGACCGCGGCAUUCGCCGGCACGCGCAUCGACUGGAAGGAGACGCCCGAGGCGCACGUGUUCAAGGCGGACGUCCCGGGGCUGAAGAAGGAGGAGGUGAAGGUUGAGGUGGACGACGGCAACGUGCUGCAGAUCAGCGGCGAGCGGAACAAGGAGCAGGAGGAGAAGACCGACACCUGGCACCGCGUGGAGCGCAGCAGCGGCAAGUUCCUGCGCAGGUUCAGGCUCCCGGAGAACGUGAAGGCGGAGGAGAUCAAGGCGGCCAUGGAGAACGGCGUGCUCACCGUCACGGUGCCCAAGGCGGAGGCCAAGAAGCCCGACGUCAAGCCCGUCCAGAUCACCGGCUAG